CUGUUUGUUUGUGUUAGCUUCUGGUAGUUGUUGGUUUAGUCUUUGGAAUUGCUGGGUCAUGGUUUUGCUCUUUGUUAUAUCUAGAGAGCUCCGGGGAUUGGUCGUGUUGGCUAGUUGUGGAUAGCUUUCGCAUUAUCUCUUCUUUGUUCUUUGUUCGUUGAAUCUUCUAAGUGUGUCUCCUUCCACCGCCUCUAGUUUAGAUUAAUAAGUAGGUUUUCUCUCGUGGUCUGUUCCUUUUCUGUUCUUGUAAGGCUAACCUCUUGUGAGGAUGCAAAGUUCUAGAUUUAGACUUGUUCGUUAGAAGACUAGGUGGUUAGGUAUUAGAUUCGCGGCGUUUUCAUAUGUUUGGGAUAAUCGUUUUUAGUUGGGAUAUGUCUUCGCGGUUUCCACUAUCCCUGGUCCUUCUCCAUUUGCGGUGGUAGGUCCUCUAGUUUGCGACCUUUGAGCUCUUAUUUCCGCGGUUUCUGUUCUCCUCCGACUUUUUCGAUGAUUUCGAGAGUUUCACUUCUUGACUUUAGUAUAUUUUCUUAUGUUUCCCGUGUAUCGGGCUUUAGCUUCCGGGGAUUUCUUUGUUUUCCGCCGGUAUUGUAUUUCGAAAACGCAUCCCAAAAACGUAUUCCACCCAUGUAUUCCACUCUUGUAUUAUAUAAUGAAAAUCUUUCAGUGAAAAAAAAAAAAAAAAA
RNAcentral lists this long non-coding RNA (683 nucleotides) under Arabidopsis lyrata. RNAcentral's name for it is "long non-coding RNA (ALYR_LNC000214)". Lineage: Eukaryota; Viridiplantae; Streptophyta; Magnoliopsida; Brassicales; Brassicaceae. The record is from RNAcentral.